AUUCCAGGGCAACCUCCAAAGCUACAGAGAAACCCUGUUUCAGAUAUCAAAAAAAAGAAAGAAAACUUCAGCAACCUUGUUCGUUGUCUUAUGAGUAAAUACCUGAUAGAUAGGUAUGAACAUAAUGACACCAGCAUCUUUGAUCAUGGUAACGCAUUUUCAUAGAAACUAUUUAUACAUUUUUCUUUAUAAUUAUCCACACAUAAGCUUAGUGUGUUCAUUUUUGAAAGGGUAUUUAAGUGAACAUUGUCUAGCUCAUAAGGCACCAUCAUUUCUCUUCAUACAAAGGUAAGAUAGACUGUAUAGUUAAUUUUCAGUUCUAUUUAUGGUACUGUUAAGUGGGUAAUAUCCUCUUUUAUUUUAUAUAUAUAUAUAUAUAUAUAUAUAUAUAUAUAUAUAUUGCUUGCCUAAGUGCUGAACUGGGGCUAUAGUUUCAUAGUUGUAGACUUGUUGGUACUGAUUAAUUUUGACAGUUAAGAUUUCAAUGUUUGUAUCUGCACAUUUGAUUUUUGCACAAAUGAUUUUUAAAAUAUCUUAAUAACUGCCAAACAUUAAAAGAAAAAUGUUGUACAAGUAAACAAUGUAGUAUUUAGUUAAAGUGGCCAUUACAUCUCUUUUAAAAAAGAAAUACAAACACUUGAGAUGGUGUAUGUCAUAUGCUGAGAAAAUUCUUUACAUUGGUGCCUAUACUGUAAUAGUUGCUUUUAAUUGAGUGUAUUUUGAAGUAAUGUUUUGGUUAGAUUUUUCAUCUGUUCUGUAAUUGAAACUCAAUUACACUAUGUUCUCCACAGUGCUCUACAAAUAAUUGUGUGACUUGGAUCAUGGAUUACAUUAGUAUUUUCGUAAAAAAUAAAAGCAACAAGUUCAUAAAUUGAUUACAUAAAACCUUAUCACAUAACUGCAUCCCAAAUGCAACUUGUAUUGCUUACUCAUUACAGUUUUAGUCCUGUAGACUGUUUCUAGGUGAAGCAUACUUCAGUGUUUGGGGAAUUUUAAAAAUAAAUAUUUAAAUUUCAU
Molecule: long non-coding RNA, 1017 nt
Filed under: Cricetulus griseus (Chinese hamster)
Lineage: Eukaryota; Metazoa; Chordata; Mammalia; Rodentia; Cricetidae
Description: lncRNA (ENSCGRG00015041869.1)
Source: RNAcentral